This is a small nuclear RNA of Manis javanica (Malayan pangolin), 190 nucleotides long. RefSeq annotates it as U2 spliceosomal RNA. Lineage: Eukaryota; Metazoa; Chordata; Mammalia; Pholidota; Manidae. The record is from RefSeq and is a predicted model, not a curated record.
AUUGCUGCUCAGCCUUUUGGCUAAGAUCAAGUAUAGUAUCUGUUCUUACCAGUUUAAUAUCCAAUACAUCCUCUCUCUGAGGACAAUAUAUUAAAUGGAUUUUGGAGCAGGGAGAUGGAAUAGGAGCUUGUUGUAUCCACUCCACGCAUCAACCUGGUAUUGCAGUACUUCCAAGAAAGGUGCACCCUCU